Molecule: long non-coding RNA, 234 nt
Filed under: Callithrix jacchus (white-tufted-ear marmoset)
Lineage: Eukaryota; Metazoa; Chordata; Mammalia; Primates; Cebidae
Description: lncRNA (ENSCJAG00000075072.1)
Source: RNAcentral
AUGACAAAACAACACUUGAACCCAGGAUUUCUUUUUUUUUCUUUUUGUUCUUUUUUUUUUUUUUUUUUUUUUUUUUUUUUUUUUUUUUUUUUUUUUGAGACAGGGUCUCGCUCUGUUGCCCAGGCUGGAGUGCAGUGGUGCAAUCACAGCUCAUUGCAGCAGCUCAGUGGUGCCUCCCACCUCACCCUCCUGAAUUUUGGCAUAUAUCUUGACAGGCAAUAAAUAAAGUUUAGA